This 493-nucleotide ribosomal RNA is filed under the name uncultured bacterium. RNAcentral describes it as "partial 16S ribosomal RNA". It matches the Rfam family "Bacterial small subunit ribosomal RNA", at positions 29 to 507 of the family's 1533-position model. The record is from RNAcentral.
ACGAACGCUGGCGGCGCGCCUAACACAUGCAAGUCGAACGGAAAGGCCUGCUUUCCCUUGUGGAUUGCGGGUACUCGAGUGGCGAACGGGUGAGUAACACGUGAGUGAUCUGCCCCCAACUUGGGUAUAAGCCUGGGAAACUGGGUCUAAUUCCCGAUAGGACUGCAGGGUGGUGCCUGUGGUGGAAAACGAUUUUCUAGUGGUUGGGGAUGAGCUCGCGGCCUAUCAGCUUGUUGGUGGGGUAAUGGCCUACCAAGGCGGCGACGGGUAGCCGGCCUGAGAGGGUGGACGGCCACAUUGGGACUGAGAUACGGCCCAGACUCCUACGGGAGGCAGCAGUGGGGAAUAUUGCACAAUGGGCGGAAGCCUGAUGCAGCGACGCCGCGUGGGGGAUGACGGCCUUCGGGUUGUAAACUCCUUUCGACCGCGAGGAAGCCACCUGGUUGGAAGGGUGGUGACGGUAGUGGUAGAAGAAGCACCGGCUAACUACGUG